RNAcentral lists this transfer RNA (77 nucleotides) under Verrucomicrobiaceae bacterium. RNAcentral describes it as "tRNA-Arg". It matches the Rfam family "tRNA". From Rfam's summary of the family: Transfer RNA (tRNA) molecules are approximately 80 nucleotides in length. Their secondary structure includes four short double-helical elements and three loops (D, anti-codon, and T loops). Lineage: Bacteria; Pseudomonadati; Verrucomicrobiota; Verrucomicrobiia; Verrucomicrobiales; Verrucomicrobiaceae. The record is from RNAcentral. RNAcentral also lists the same sequence under 1 other name.
GCUCCCGUAGCUCAAUCGUAAAGAGCGCCGUGCUUCUAACGCGGACGAUGAAGGUUAGAGUCCUUCCGGGAGCGCCA